RNAcentral lists this unclassified non-coding RNA (337 nucleotides) under soil metagenome. RNAcentral's name for it is "partial contains 5.8S ribosomal RNA, internal transcribed spacer 2, and large subunit ribosomal RNA". The stretch from base 1 to 120 matches the Rfam family "5.8S ribosomal RNA", at positions 35 to 154 of the family's 154-position model. The record is from RNAcentral.
GAUGAAGAACGUAGUGAAAUGCGAUAAGUAGUGUGAAUUGCAGAAUUCAGUGAAUCAUCGAAUCUUUGAACGCACAUUGCGCCCCUUGGUAUUCCAUGGGGCAUGCCUGUUCGAGCGUCAUCUACACCCUCAAGCUCUGCUUGGUGUUGGGCGUCUGUACCGCCUCUGCGCGUGGACUCGCCCCAAAUUCAUUGGCAGCGGUCUUUGCCUCCUCUCGCGCAGCACAUUGCGCUUCUCGAGGUGUCUGCAGGGCCCGCGUCCACGAAGCAUUACCAGUCUUUGACCUCGGAUCAGGUAGGGAUACCCGCUGAACUUAAGCAUAUCAAUAAGCGGAGGA